This 457-nucleotide ribosomal RNA is filed under the name uncultured Oxalobacteraceae bacterium. RNAcentral describes it as "bacterial SSU rRNA". It matches the Rfam family "Bacterial small subunit ribosomal RNA", at positions 342 to 791 of the family's 1533-position model. Lineage: Bacteria; Pseudomonadati; Pseudomonadota; Betaproteobacteria; Burkholderiales; Oxalobacteraceae. The record is from RNAcentral.
CGGGAUGCAGCAGUGGGGAAUUUUGGACAAUGGGGGCAACCCUGAUCCAGCAAUGCCGCGUGAGUGAAGAAGGCCUUCGGGUUGUAAAGCUCUUUUGUCGGGGAAGAAACGGCAUGGCCCAAUACGCUAUGCUAAUGACGGUACCCGAAGAAUAAGCACCGGCUAACUACGUGCCAGCAGCCGCGGUAAUACGUAGGGUGCAAGCGUUAAUCGGAAUUACUGGGCGUAAAGCGUGCGCAGGCGGUUAUGUAAGACAGAUGUGAAAUGCCCGGGCUUAACCUGGGAACUGCAUUUGUGACUGCAUGGCUAGAGUGUGUCAGAGGGGGGUAGAAUUCCACGUGUAGCAGUGAAAUGCGUAGAGAUGUGGAGGAAUACCGAUGGCGAAGGCAGCCCCCUGGGAUAACACUGACGCUCAUGCACGAAAGCGUGGGGAGCAAACAGGAUUAGAUACCCCUGU